RNAcentral lists this ribosomal RNA (422 nucleotides) under uncultured bacterium. RNAcentral's name for it is "partial 16S ribosomal RNA". It matches the Rfam family "Bacterial small subunit ribosomal RNA", at positions 360 to 774 of the family's 1533-position model. The record is from RNAcentral.
AAUAUUUGACAAUUGGCGAAAGCCUGAUCCAGCCAUUCCGCGUGUGUGAAGAAGGUCUNUGGAUUNUNAAGCACUUUAAGUUGGGNGGAAGGGCAGUACGUUAAUUCUUUGCUGUUUUGACGUUACCGACAGAAUAAUGACCGGCUAACUGCGAGCCAGCAGCCGCAGUAAUACGAAGGGUGCAAGCGUUAAUCGGAAUUACUGGGCGUAAAGCACGCGUAGGUGGCUUGUUAAGUAGGAAGUGAUGGCACCGGGCUCAACCUGGGAACAGCCUUCAAAACUGGCGAGCUAGAGUAUGGCAGAGGGUGGUGGAAUUUCCUGUGUAGCAGUGAAGUGCGUAGAUAUAGGAAGGAACACCAGUGGCGAAGGCGACCACCUGGGCUAAUACUGACACUGAGGUGCGAAGGCGUGGGGAGCAAACA